CUUGGUCCUGUAAAACAUAUAUUUGAACACCUUCACUGUCCCACGCGAUUCUAAAGGCGAUAAAAACCAAUUAAAAAUAUUUUUUAGGUUCUCAACAUGAGUAGUACUUCAAUGAAAUGAAUGAAUUAUUUUUGAGACGUUAUAGAAUGUACUUGGAGACCAAAAAAUGGCUAUCCAGAGUUAACCAGGACGUCUUAGAGUUCGACCAGUUGGAGAUGCAAUUCAAACCCUUUCCGGAACUAGAUACAAAAACUUUAUUUUAGCCAAUGAAUCGACCUUAUUGAUGUUAUACAGAUUGUCUCUUCAAUAAUGAAAAAAAAAAACAACAAAAACUUAACUGCAGACUGUUGACUAUGGUAUUUGUUAUUAAAAAAUUCACAAACCCCUCUUCGAAUUCUUAUUUUAUUAAUUAAAUUAAAAUCCCUUGUCCAACAAGAUGCCACACGACCCCCUUUCUCACUUAACAUCUUCGAGGGGGGUUCGAACUGUCAAUUACAAAUUUUCUUAUUAAAUAUUUUUUUUUUAAA
Diorhabda carinulata is the source of this 527-nucleotide long non-coding RNA. RefSeq lists it as uncharacterized. The transcript is spliced from 2 exons. The record is from RefSeq and is a predicted model, not a curated record. Lineage: Eukaryota; Metazoa; Arthropoda; Insecta; Coleoptera; Chrysomelidae.